GAAUAGCCGAUUUAGUAGAGACCAUGAAUCUCGUGGAGAUAGGAGUGGAUCUGGGAAAGAUAGCAAGCAACAUAAUGUACCUGCAGUCCGGGAGAGAGACAGACAUAAUUCACAUUACGAGUACCAUCCAGUUGGGCCCCACAACAGUGGCAAAGCAAACAACUUGGAAGUUCCCAAAGAUGUUUCCCAUAACUACUCUGGGACAGGGUAUAGAGAGAGGGGCCAGGGUCACUCGAGGCAUGGUGCGGGCAACUUUUAUGGACGGCAAACUGGCAGUGUUCAAGUAGAUGCUGGUCACGACUAAGGAGAAAUUCAGAGAGGGGUUUUUUGGUAGUGCCUAAAACCAGCUUCCAAAGAUAUUUGUGGCUCGAUCUCUAACACUUUCAGGGCUUGGAGUAUGCAGAGGGUGUCAAGGCCAAAAAA
RNAcentral lists this unclassified non-coding RNA (423 nucleotides) under Hevea brasiliensis (rubber tree). The record is from RNAcentral. Lineage: Eukaryota; Viridiplantae; Streptophyta; Magnoliopsida; Malpighiales; Euphorbiaceae.